UGCAGCGCAAGGGGCCAGAUUCCCCGUGGUCCACGACAUACGGUGAAGCCUAAGGAGCAAAGGGGAGACAGUGGUUGAGACAUAUGGUAAAAGACUGCAUUUCUUCUUGGAAGAAGGGCUGUGACAGUGGCCAUAGCAAGCCAGGGGCUGUCAUGGGUGUACAAGGGGGAAGCCACAGAUUAUCCAGAAUUCUUGUUUCUGGCCUUAAUUUUAGUCCCUUCCACUCCUGCCCUAAGAAUUUUGACCCCUGCUUCCUUCCUUGACACUUUUCCCCCUCACCCAGAGUAGAAUUCUGUGUCACCCAAUUAAUGAUCCAGGUAGAUGCCACCCUAUAGAUAUGAGAACAGCACCCAAGCAUCCCCACUGGGAACCGGAAAGAAAGAAGAAAAAUACACAGAGGGAGAUGGAAAGAAGCAGAAUAUAAACAGCGCCUUGAAAAAAUAAAAAUAAAAAAAUAAACAGCGCCUUGA
This is a long non-coding RNA of Chinchilla lanigera (long-tailed chinchilla), 470 nucleotides long. RefSeq lists it as uncharacterized. The transcript has 2 exons. NCBI's taxonomy places the organism in Eukaryota, Metazoa, Chordata, Mammalia, Rodentia, Chinchillidae. The record is from RefSeq and is a predicted model, not a curated record.